CCUGCCGGUAGUCAUAUGCUCAUGUCAAGGACUAAGCCAUGCAAGUCUAAGUAUAAAUAGUACAUAUUAAAACUGCGGAGGGCUCAUUAAAUCAGUUAUAACUUAAACAUAGUGUUAUCCCUGGAUAACUGUAGUAAUUCUAGAGCUAAUACACACCGAUAACACCGCAAGGUGAUUGGAAUCAGUUUAAACCAACGAGGUAUUUCGCAAGAGAUACUAAACUGGAACGUGAUUUCAAAUGACAGCCGUAUUUCGUAAGAAGACGGGUCUAUGUUUAGGUUUCUGCCCUAUCAACUUGAUGCUUGUGUAACGUACCAGCAUAGUGAUAACGGGUGACGGGGAAUUAGGGUUCGAUUCCGGAGAGGGCGCCUGAGAUAUGGCGACUACUUCCAAGGAAGGCAGCAGGCGCGCAAAUUACCCAAUCUCAAUACGAGGAGGUAGCGACAACAAAUAACAAUACAGGCCUUCACAAGGCCUGUAAUUGGAAUGAAUACAAUGUAAAUACCUUAAUAAGGAACAAUUAGAGGGCAAGUCUGGUGCCAGCAGCCGCGGUAAUUCCAGCUCUAAUAGCGUAUAUUAAAGUUGUUGUAGUUAAAAAGCUCGUAGUUGAAAUAAACCGGGGUGGUGCUUUUAUACUGUCGGGAGAUAUGUAUUGAGUGCGCUUCGAUUUAUUACCUGGUAGUUAACACUUUCUACUCUUAAAUGAGCGGUUUGUCGUUACUAUCUCGCUUACCUUGAAAAAAUUAAAGCGAUUAAAGCAGGCUUUCAGCUUGAAUACAUUAGCAUGGGAUAACAAAAUAUGGCUUUCAGCCUAUUUGUUGGUUCAAAGCUGAAGCAAUGAUUAAUAGGAGCGGUCGGGGGUGUUCAUAUUCCAGCGUUAGAGGUGAAAUUCUUGGACCGUUGGAAGAUGUACUAGUGCGAAAGCAUUCACCAAGGACGCAUUCAUUAAUCAAGAACGAAAGUUAGGGGAUCGAAGACGAUCAGAUACCGUCGUAGUCUUAACUGUAAACGUUGCCGACCAGAGAUUGA
RNAcentral lists this ribosomal RNA (1029 nucleotides) under uncultured soil eukaryote. Its description in RNAcentral is "SSU rRNA". It matches the Rfam family "Eukaryotic small subunit ribosomal RNA", at positions 13 to 1056 of the family's 1831-position model. The record is from RNAcentral.